RNAcentral lists this ribosomal RNA (216 nucleotides) under uncultured bacterium. Its description in RNAcentral is "partial 16S ribosomal RNA". It matches the Rfam family "Bacterial small subunit ribosomal RNA", at positions 524 to 739 of the family's 1533-position model. The record is from RNAcentral.
UACGUAGGGCGCAAGCGUUGUCCGGAAUUAUUGGGCGUAAAGAGCUCGUAGGCGGUUUGUCGCGUCUGCUGUGAAAACUCGAGGCUCAACCUCGGGCUUGCAGUGGGUACGGGCAGACUAGAGUGCGGUAGGGGUGACUGGAAUUCCUGGUGUAGCGGUGGAAUGCGCAGAUAUCAGGAAGAACACCAAUGGCGAAGGCAGCUCUCUGGGACGGUA